RNAcentral lists this ribosomal RNA (402 nucleotides) under uncultured bacterium. RNAcentral describes it as "bacterial SSU rRNA". It matches the Rfam family "Bacterial small subunit ribosomal RNA", at positions 358 to 776 of the family's 1533-position model. The record is from RNAcentral.
GGGAUAUUGCACAAUGGGGGGAACCCUGAUGCAGCGACGCCGCGUGGGUGAAGGAGCGUUUCGGCGCGUAAAGCCCUAUCGGCAGGGAAGAAGGAGGACGGUACCUGAAUAAGAAGCCCCGGCUAACUACGUGCCAGCAGCCGCGGUAAUACAUAGGGAGCAAGCGUUAUCCGGAUUUAUUGGGUGUAAAGGGUGCGUAGACGGGAAAUUAAGUUAGUUGUGAAAUCCCUCGGCUUAACUGAGGAACUGCAACUAAAACUGAUUUUCUUGAGUACUGGAGAGGAAAGUGGAAUUCCUAGUGUAGCGGUGAAAUGCGUAGAUAUUAGGAGGAACACCAGUGGCGAAGGCGACUUUCUGGACAGUAACUGACGUUGAGGCACGAAAGUGUGGGGAGCAAACAGG